GAAAUGCGAUACGUAAUGUGAAUUGCAGAAUUCAGCGAACCAUCGAAUCUUUGAACGCACAUUGCGCCCGCCAGUAUUCUGGCGGGCAUGCCUGUCCGAGCGUCAUUUCCCCCCUCACGCGCCCCGUUGCGCGCUGGUGUUGGGGCUCCUCCGCCUGGCGGAGGGCCCCGAAAGCGAGUGGCGGGCCCGGCUGGUUGGCUCCGAGCGCAGUACCGAACGCAAGUUCUCCCCUCGCUCGGACGCCCCGCCGGCGCCCUGCCGUCAAAACGCGCAUGACGUGCAACUCUUUUUACAAGGUUGACCUCGGAUCAGGUAGGACUACCCGCUGAACUUAA
RNAcentral lists this unclassified non-coding RNA (335 nucleotides) under uncultured Ophiostomataceae. RNAcentral's name for it is "sequence contains ITS1". The stretch from base 1 to 105 matches the Rfam family "5.8S ribosomal RNA", at positions 50 to 154 of the family's 154-position model. The record is from RNAcentral. Lineage: Eukaryota; Fungi; Ascomycota; Sordariomycetes; Ophiostomatales.